CGCAGGAAAAGCCACAGCCACCAGCUGCAGAUCCUCCAAAGCUAAAAAAGCAGCCUUCUGAUGUGUCAAAGCCUACAAAACCAACGGAACCUGCAGAAAAAAUAACUAAGCUUGCGACAAAAAUAGAACCUGCAGAAAAAUCCAAGCCUGCAACGAAAACAGAACCUGCAGAAACAUCUAAGCCUGCGACAAAAAUGGAACCUGCAGAAAAAUCCAAGCCUGCAACGAAAACAGAACCUACAGAAACAUCUAAGCCUGCGACAAAAAUAGAACCUGCAGAAAAAUCUAAGCCUGCAAGGAAAACAGAACCUGCAGAAACAUCUAAGCCUGCGACAAAAAUAGAACCUGCAGAAAAGUCGCCUACGACGAAAAUAGAGCCUGCAGAAACAUCUAAGCCUGCUACGACAACAGAGCCUGCCAGGCCUGAGAAGCCAGUACUAA
RNAcentral lists this long non-coding RNA (441 nucleotides) under Manihot esculenta (cassava). Its description in RNAcentral is "long non-coding RNA (MESC_LNC002214)". Lineage: Eukaryota; Viridiplantae; Streptophyta; Magnoliopsida; Malpighiales; Euphorbiaceae. The record is from RNAcentral.